AAGGAAGAGAGAGAGAGAGAGAGAGAGAGAGAGAAAUCGGAAGAAAAAAGAGAGAGCAAAUCACUAGAAAAAAUGGGGAGAGGAGAGAGUCACGGUGGAGGGGAUUGAAAGCCAAAAGUGUUUCCAAUAUCUACGAACACCGAUGCAUUGUAAGGAAAGUUUUCACUGGAUAAUCCAUUUUAUUCCCUAUGUUGAUUUCAAACUCUUUCCUCCUUCGACUGAAAUUUUGCAAUAGUGGGUAUAUGGUUGUGUAUGUGCAGACAGGUGGAGAAGGAAUGUUGCACCACAAGUCUAGCCCAUCUGAGAUCCAAGGAAGAGUAAAAGUAAUUUUUACUUUAAAUCCCCAUAUCUGUUAUAAUAUAGUUUAUCUAGAUUUCAUUCAAUAUUGUAGUGUUGUAAUGAUGAUGAUUUGUAUGAAGAUUUAUGGAUAUUUUAAUUUAUGGAUGCAAAAAAAAAAUCUUGAAGAGUAUGAACAUAUCAAUCUGUAGUGUAGGCUAUGAGCAUGGUUUAGAUGCCUCUAGAGUUUUAGUGAAGAAGAUGAGAUAUCAUGGGUUAGGUUUGUAGGCUUUUGG
This 572-nucleotide long non-coding RNA is filed under the name Carica papaya (papaya). RNAcentral describes it as "long non-coding RNA (CPAP_LNC009836)". The record is from RNAcentral. Lineage: Eukaryota; Viridiplantae; Streptophyta; Magnoliopsida; Brassicales; Caricaceae.